UACGAAGGGGGCUAGCGUUGUUCGGAUUUACUGGGCGUAAAGGGCGCGUAGGCGGUCAGCACAAGUCAGUUGUGAAAUCUCCGGGCUUAACUCGGAAAGGUCAACUGAUACUGUGCGACUAGAGUGCGGAAGGGGCAACUGGAAUUCUCGGUGUAGCGGUGAAAUGCGUAGAUAUCGAGAGGAACACCUGCGGCGAAGGCGGGUUGCUGGGCCGACACUGACGCUGAUGCGCGAAAGCCAGGGGAGCGAACGGG
This 254-nucleotide ribosomal RNA is filed under the name uncultured bacterium. Its description in RNAcentral is "partial 16S ribosomal RNA". It matches the Rfam family "Bacterial small subunit ribosomal RNA", at positions 524 to 776 of the family's 1533-position model. The record is from RNAcentral.